GCCGGGCAUGGUGGCUCGUGCCCGUAGUCCCAGCUACUCGGGAGGCGGAGGUGGGAGGAUCGCUUGAGCCCAGGAGUUCUGGGCUGUAGUGCCCUAUGCCGAUCGGGUGUCCGAACUAAGUUUGGCAUCAAUAUGGUGACCUCCCGAGAGUGGGGGACCACCAGGUUGCCUAAGGAGGGAUGACCCAGCCCAGGUUCUAAAUGGAGCAGGUCAAAACUCCCGUGCUAAUCAGUAGUGGGAUUGCACCUGUGAAUAGCCACUGCACUCCAGCCUAGGCAACAUAGCAAGACCGUGUCUUGU
This 300-nucleotide signal recognition particle RNA is filed under the name Saimiri boliviensis boliviensis (Bolivian squirrel monkey). RNAcentral describes it as "Metazoan signal recognition particle RNA (ENSSBOG00000003091.1)". It matches the Rfam family "Metazoan signal recognition particle RNA". From Rfam's summary of the family: The signal recognition particle (SRP) is a universally conserved ribonucleoprotein. It is involved in the co-translational targeting of proteins to membranes. The record is from Rfam by way of RNAcentral. Lineage: Eukaryota; Metazoa; Chordata; Mammalia; Primates; Cebidae.